UACAGGCUUAACACAUGCAAGUCGAGGGGCAUCAGGAAGAAAGCUUGCUUUCUUUGCUGGCGACCGGCGCACGGGUGAGUAACACGUAUCCAACCUGCCCUUUACUCGGGGAUAGCCUUUCGAAAGAAAGAUUAAUACCCGAUGGCAUAAUGAUUCCGCAUGGUUUCGUUAUUAAAGGAUUCCGGUAAAGGAUGGGGAUGCGUUCCAUUAGGUUGUUGGUGAGGUAACGGCUCACCAAGCCUUCGAUGGAUAGGGGUUCUGAGAGGAAGGUCCCCCACAUUGGAACUGAGACACGGUCCAAACUCCUACGGGAGGCAGCAGUGAGGAAUAUUGGUCAAUGGGCGCUAGCCUGAACCAGCCAAGUAGCGUGAAGGAUGAAGGCUCUAUGGGUCGUAAACUUCUUUUAUAUAAGAAUAAAGUGCAGUAUGUAUACUGUUUUGUAUGUAUUAUAUGAAUAAGGAUCGGCUAACUCCGUGCCAGCAGCCGCGGUAAUACGGAGGAUCCGAGCGUUAUCCGGAUUUAUUGGGUUUAAAGGGAGCGUAGGUGGACUGGUAAGUCAGUUGUGAAAGUUUGCGGCUCAACCGUAAAAUUGCAGUUGAUACUGUCAGUCUUGAGUACAGUAGAAGUGGGCGGAAUUCGUGGUGUAGCGGUGAAAUGCUUAGAUAUCACGAAGAACUCCGAUUGCGAAGGCAGCUCACUGGACUGCAACUGACACUGAUGCUCGAAAGUGUGGGUAUCAAACAGGAUUAGAUACCCUGGUAGUCCACACAGUAAACGAUGAAUACUCGCUGUUUGCGAUAUACAGUAAGCGGCCAAGCGAAAGCAUUAAGUAUUCCACCUGGGGAGUACGCCGGCAACGGUGAAACUCAAAGGAAUUGACGGGGGCCCGCACAAGCGGAGGAACAUGUGGUUUAAUUCGAUGAUACGCGAGGAACCUUACCCGGGCUUAAAUUGCAGUGGAAUGAUGUGGAAACAUGUCAGUGAGCAAUCACCGCUGUGAAGGUGCUGCAUGGUUGUCGUCAGCUCGUGCCGUGAGGUGCCGGCUUAAGUGCCAUAACGAGCGCAACCCUUAUCUUUAGUUACUAACAGGUUAUGCUGAGGACUCUAGAGAGACUGCCGUCGUAAGAUGUGAGGAAGGUGGGGAUGACGUCAAAUCAGCACGGCCCUUACGUCCGGGGCUACACACGUGUUACAAUGGGGGGUACAGAAGGCAGCUAGCGGGUGACCGUAUGCUAAUCCCAAAAGCCUCUCUCAGUUCGGAUCGAAGUCUGCAACCCGACUUCGUGAAGCUGGAUUCGCUAGUAAUCGCGCAUCAGCCACGGCGCGGUGAAUACGUUCCCGGGCCUUGUACACACCGCCCGUCAAGCCAUGGGAGCCGGGGGUACCUGAAGUACGUAACCGCAAGGAUCGUCCUAGGGUAAAACUGGUGACUGGGGCUAAGUCGUA
This 1446-nucleotide ribosomal RNA is filed under the name uncultured organism. RNAcentral describes it as "SSU rRNA". It matches the Rfam family "Bacterial small subunit ribosomal RNA". The record is from RNAcentral.